GAAACAAAAAAGCUUAAGCUAUGGGAUGUCUGCAUUCUCUAAGAGAAGAGAGGCUGGUCUGCUGCAGAAACCAAUAACCAGAAGUUAAACCACAAGAGUUCAAAGGGCUUGGUCCACCUCCUGUGGAAGCUAAUAGGAGUUUUCUACUACUCAGAAACCAAAUGGGAUCUGACCCACAGCAGCUGGAUGGCUGCGAGGGACAGAGGAGCCUGACUGAGGCUGAAUCACGGCUCCAAAUAUCUUUGAGAAGGAAGAUAGUCUCUUUCCAAGUCUGGGGCGGUUUCCAUUUUGUCUUCCAGCUUGAGGAUAGCGUUUAGUAGAGUGGACAUUGCUGACUUCGGGCUUUGAUCACUCUAUAAGGGAGGGCUGUCUGGUGGUUGCAGAAAAGGCACUGGUUUCAAAACUCCUGGGUUUUUUUUCCCCCAGCUCUGCUAUUGACUUUCUCUCUGACCUUGGGCACAUCAAUUCUUCCACUGAAAGAACUCUGACAUCUCCUGGAUUUGCUCUGACUAUCUGGCCAAAUUUCAAAACCCACUGGGAAAUGGGAUUUUUAUGCUCCUCAGAACCUGUGAGGGCAUGAAGGCUCUGCGAGACUUCCCCAAAUGUCACACAGGGCUGCUAUCCUGAGGAACUAUUCUGCUAAAGUGAAAAUAUCAUAUCACAGAGACACAAGGCCUUGGGAAGAAGGUGAAAGGCAUGAUCUGAAGACAUCCAGUUAUACGUAGUUGUGCUGACUGGACACCGAUUUACAUAAAACUGCAGGUAUUUAAGCAUUGGAGCAGGCUACCUUCAAUGGUUGCAGAGUCUCUUUCAUGGGAAUAUUUAAAAUUAUGUACAACAUUUGUAGGAAAGGCAUAAGUAAAGCCGACCCUGCAUUAAGCAGGCUAAGGGAUAGCUGAACACCUGAGGUCUCCUUCAGCCCUGCAGGCUGAUGCCGUCAUUUGCUUGGGCAACGAGGUGCUGAAUCCAGGGUGUCCCCUGGGAGCAGAGGGACUACAGCAAGGAGAAAAGCAGGAAAAGAGGGAAAACGGAGCUUUAAAAGGGCACAUAUGAGCAAGAGAGAAUGAAAGAGAAGCAGAAGGGGAGCUGGCUGGAAUCACAAGGCACAUCAGCCAAGGGAGGAAGCAGGAGAUAACUCAGAGGGGUCCAAACACAACAAAUCCUCAAAGCAAAACUAAACUUGGCAGAAACAUUUACCCACAAUGACCCUUGUGCAUUGGAUGUAUAAUAAUUUUUAAAAGAAACCAACUACUAAGAGUUAUGCUUCUCAUGAUGAAAGUUUCUUCUCAUGUUCUUUGCCUUCCACCCAAGCUACAACAUCCCAGUUCUCACUCAUAUGCCAAGUGUAGUUUUAAUUUGGGCCCCCUUCUGUGUUCGUUUUCUCUCUUAUUCCAGCAGCACAACUGCCCCAACCAUUCACCUGGCAGGAUCAAACCAGGGCUGUGACUGUGUCCCUUAGAUGAGAGAUCUCCCAGGCAGAACACAGGGGUGCUCACCACAGCGAGUGGCUGAUCCAGCAGAGUUCAGUGGAGUUGGACAAGGACCAAGCUGCAAAUUUUGCCUCAUCUUUUGUGAUGCCAGCCGCCAAACAUCUUAAUAGCAAGCAGCCCACUUUAUCCUCUAUUGCAAGGGAUGCAAAACGUUGCCUGAGAGAUGUGGCAUGAGGUGGAAAAGGUGCAGCUCCAGUCCUCCUGUCCCAGUAUCUCUCCAUUUGUUCAUACAACCUUAGUAAUGUUGUAUCAAACAUUGCACACAAGUGCUGUGGCCAGAGACGUGUGACAAGGGUCUCACUGCAGUGUAAAGGUCUCUGGGCACGUACCAACUGUUUUUAGCUAGCUGAAAUGUAUCCUGCGGUUGCACAGUGGAAUUUUCUAAUGCCUAUGUAGAGCCAGCACUAUAGUCAGCAGGCCAGCACGCCUGCGUUACCACUGCCCUCUCACCUCAGACAGAACAUCUCAGUGGCCUGUGAGCCCCGUAACCUUUCUUACUGGGAUUCUCCUGGAGAUUAGACUAAAGGGAACAGGGUGAUCUGAGCUCUAUCUCUGCUGACACCCUGAAUUCCCACUAUUUAUCAGCUUCUCUUUAAAAGGAUUUCAGAUUGCAUUUCCAUAUCUAGCAUAUGGAGACUUUCAUUUAUUUGACAGGUUGAUUCUUUUAUCAGACGUUUAUAAGGAUUUACAAUAUUAAUGCACUCCGCAUGCAGUACUGGAUUUUGCACAGAAAAAGUGCUAGCAAAGGGACAAACUGUCCUCAGAGCAGUUUUCCCUUGUCUUUCCCGUCCCACCUUUCCUAUGCUUUACGGAGGCAGGUCAGUACAAAAAAGCCUGUGAUAACACUAAUGCCCUUUCCAAGCAUUUUCUGCUGGGAUGAGUGAUGAUGGACGCAGGCUCCUUAAAAGAGCUGAGUACCUGAGGCUCUUCUUUCCUUGUGGUUGUACUCAGAGGGAUGGGGAUACAGGCAGUGAGAAAGCCCCUGCCAGUAGGGUGAGCAGCGACAGGCAAAAGAAGAGGAGAAAGGCGCUGAACCCUGCAGGAGAUCUGCAGAGAGGAGACAGAUACUGGCUUUGCUUUAGACUGAGAAUUGCAAAAUAAAAUCCUCCAGGACAAAGCCUGCAGGGCAGAGAUUUCUCCUUUUUGACAGCCUACAGUGAAUGAAGCACAAAAUAGCCUGCUGUCUCCGCAGACAGCAAGGAUAUUUGGAGACGUCAAACUGUAGUACAGAGGAUGCACAAGAGGAAUGGAGACACAGCUAACUACUUCCCAGACUUUUGAUUUUUUGUUCCAAGCAGGAGAUCCUGAAAUCAUGCAAGUUUUUCUUGUGUUCCUGCUGGAAUGAAAAACAUAGCUUCUUCCUGCUUUGGGAUAGCAGAUGGAAAUAAAGCUUAUUUGGUCUUCAUUAUCUGCCCUCGUUUCAGAUUCAAAGGUGCUUGGAUUCAAAGUCUGCAUAUUUUCAGUCCUAGCAAAGGGCAAGGGAAUAGCAGUGGACACAGCCUAGCAUAAAAUCAGAUUUCCCACUUCCAAACCACAUGUAGAACCAGUUUCUCAGAUUCUUUCAGGGGUUUAUAAGGACAGGUUAUUUCUGCUGCAUAGCUGAUGAUUUGCCUAAUAUAGCUCCAAUCUCAUACUGAGA
Molecule: long non-coding RNA, 3129 nt
Organism: Gymnogyps californianus (California condor)
Lineage: Eukaryota; Metazoa; Chordata; Aves; Accipitriformes; Cathartidae
Exons: 3
Source: RefSeq, a predicted model, not a curated record